This 423-nucleotide long non-coding RNA is filed under the name Oryza brachyantha (malo sina). Its description in RNAcentral is "long non-coding RNA (OBRA_LNC001834)". Lineage: Eukaryota; Viridiplantae; Streptophyta; Magnoliopsida; Poales; Poaceae. The record is from RNAcentral.
ACAUUUGCAAAGUCCUCAUGGACCAAGUUUUGUUUACUUUGUUUCUGGGCCGUGCUGGAUGUAAGCUUGGGAGGCAUUGGGAGAAUGGUAUAUGCUUGUUUCUUCCACAAGUCAAGCUGAGCUCGGCUCGGUUGACGAACGGAGGAGGUUCAAACGGCCACAAUCACAUACAACGGGAGGGCAUGGCAGAGCUGAAUCGAAGGUGAGGCGGCGGCCGAUGGCUGGAACAGGUCUUUCUGUUGGCAGAUUGUUUUUGCAAGGGCAUAGAAAUAUCGCAUCGCUCUGAUGGCUGAGAAGGCAUAUUGAGGGCUUGAGGCCUUGAUACAUGGAGCGAUAUGAUCCUUUUGUAAUUUUUUUUAGUUACAGUUCGGUUUUAUUUUUAGAAACACACAGUAUAACUUGGUAUAUGGAGCGAUAUGAUGU